RNAcentral lists this long non-coding RNA (11127 nucleotides) under Setaria italica (foxtail millet). Its description in RNAcentral is "long non-coding RNA (SITA_LNC005590)". Lineage: Eukaryota; Viridiplantae; Streptophyta; Magnoliopsida; Poales; Poaceae. The record is from RNAcentral.
CCUUGUUUUUAAGUUUCUUUCUAAUGGUUUGGUAAAUGAAAAUAACAGUACAACCAAAUGCUAUAGGGACAGAAGGGAGCAGGAAUCUUAGAAAGUGCAUCGUAUUUGAGUGAGGUUUCUCCAUACAUGGAGAGAAUCGUAAACGGGGUAUGCCACAAAGCCCAAUAUUCCCAACCAAAGAUUGCAACGAGAUGUUAGAGAAAAUACCACCCUGUGGUACCUUGCCUUGUAGAUUAUUAAAGGAGAGAUUCAAGGUUUUCAAGAAGGUUAAAUUGGCUAGGAACAUGGGAAUAUUACCGGAGAGAUUAUUGGAGGAGAGGUCCAAUGACUCGAGGCUCCUCAGCUCUUUAAAUGACACGGGAAUAGAGUCCUCAAAUGAAUUGUGUGAUAGAUUUAGAUAGGUGAGCAUGCUUAGUUUCCCAAAUGAUUUGGGGAUGCUUCCAAGCAAAAAGUUGGAGGAAAGGUCAAUUGUAUCCACUUGUUUCAACCCACCAACGUCACUUGGUAGUGGACCAGAAAAGGAAUUGAUAGAAAGAUCUAGGGUUAUAAUUUUGUCAAGGUGGAACAAACAUGCCGGUAUAGUUGAAUUGAAUUGGUUCUCGAACAAGUAGAUGUAUUCUAGCAUGGUAAGAUUUCCGAUGCUAUCAGGUAUACAGCCAUGAAAUCUAUUUCCAUCGAUAAUAAGCUUUUGUAACUUGCUGAGCAUACCAAUUUGUGCCGGGAUAGUCCCUAGCAUGUCAUUAUGAGAGACGUCAAGCCAAACGAGAUUUUGCAUCCUCGUGAUAGAUUCUGGGAUCUCUCCUGUGAGCUGGUUGUUGGCAAGAUAAAUCCACUCAAGACUGCUCAAGUUUGACAGUGAGGAUGGAAGCCCACCUGUUAGCUUGUUGUCACCAAGUCCAAACUCAAAUAAUUGUGCAGACAGAUUCCCCAUAGUAUCAGGGAUUCGUCCGGUGAAAGAAUUAUCAUAUAGGUCAAGGUUUUGGAGUCGCAUACAGUUGGAAAGAGAUGACAAGAAGUUAAGAUUCCCACUCAAAUUAUUAUGUUGCAGUUGUAGCCAGAUUAGAGUUUGGAUGCUCCCAAAUAUUGCUGGUACAGGUCCAGACAAUGAAUUAUUAAACAAUACUAGGUGAGACAGUUUUGAUAAAUUUCCAAGAGAAGGUGGAAUUGGACCUGUUAGCAAAUUCACUCCGAGAUGCAAAUACGAGAGUUCUUGCAUGAGGCCUAAUUCUUCUUGAAUCUCUCCAGUCAGGUUGUUGAAAUCAAGGCCAAGUAUAUUGAGAUGGGUGAGAUUGCUAAAAACAGCUGGGACAGAGCCAUGUAAGGAAUUAGCACCCAAGGAUAGACGGUAAGUUGUUGCAAUUGAGCCAACCAGGUUGGCACAACAUCGACAAAAAAAUUGUAUGACAAGGAGAUCACUUGCAGGUGUUGGCACGAUGCAAGACCAGAUGGAAUUCGACCAACAAAGUUAUUCGUACUAAGGGUAAUCCAUUGUAGCAUCGGAAGACUGAAACUUUGAUUAUUGUUCGGAAUCGGCCCAGUUAAACUGUUUGAUUCGAAUCCAAUUACUUGCAGCCUAGACAUGUUAUAAAUGGUUGGGGGUACUGUGCCAGUGAGCUGAUUGCAUCCCAGGGACAAGUACUCAAGCAUGGGUAGUGAGCCUAUUCUAUGGGGUAUUGGACCUGAUAGGCUAUUCUUUCCGAGGUCGAUUUGCUUGAGGGAAGGUGUGUUAUUGAACAGAUACAGUGGUAUGUUGCCACUCAAGUCAUUCCAUGCUAGAUAAAACCACUCAAGAUUUCUCAUGCUCUGCGGUAACCGUUGUGGAAUCUCUCCAGUCAGGUUGUUGAAAGAAAGGUCAAGUACAGUAAGACGGGUGAGAUUGCUAAGAACAGCUGGGACAGAGCCAUGUAAGGCAUUAGCACGCAAGUUUAGAUAGGUAAGCAUGGGCAGUGAGCCCAUUCCUUGGGGUAUUGGACCUGAUAGGCUAUUGUUUGAGAGGUUGAUGUGGUUGAGGGAAGGUGUGUUAUUGAACAGAUACAAUGGUAUGUUGCCACUCAACUCAUUCCAUGCUAGAGUAAACCACUGAAGGUUUCUCAUGCUUUGCAGUAACCGUGGUGGAAUCUGCCCCGAGAGGGUGUUGUUACUUAGGCGAAGAAACUCGAGGCUUUUGAGGUUUCCUAUGGUACUAGGAAUGGCGCCUGAGAGGUCAUUUCCAUACAGAUCUAGGACCCUAAGCCGACGUAGCCUUCCAAUUUCAGCAGGGAUGAGUCCAGCGACACCAAUUCUUGUGAGGUUGAGCAUGCUGAGGAAGGAAAGAUUACCGAGAUGUUGGCUGAGCGCUCCAUGGAGGGGCACAUCCACCAACCGUAGAGCCGUGACACGCGGCCGGUGGUGGCUGCACGAGACCCCGACCCAUCGACAGAAGGACACGUUGGAUGUCCAGCUGCCGGCGAGGAUUCCGAGAGGAUCAGAGAGCAGCGAUUUGAAAGCCAACAGGGCAGUGAGGUCGGUGUAGCUACCGUUAACAUUGGUUACACUUGGGCUUGGAGAUGAAGAAAGGACAGCAGGCAAUAGGAUUGGUAGCAAGAUGGCCAAAAACACUAGAGGGACCGGGUAGCUUGCAAUGGCCAUUGUUGUGUAUUUUUGGGCUGAUAGGUCAUAGGUGGCAAUGUUAUAUACUUAUAUGUAUUUUUGGGUCAUAGGUCAUAGGUCACAUGUCAAAGUCUUGACUCGUGUUUCCUUUAUUUAUUUGUCACACGGUAUAUUUCUAUGGUGGCAAAAAAAAACAGUGUCACUAUUAUCUUGACUCAUGAAGUCAGCAAAGAUCUUUUAUAUUACUAUAAAGUAAUAAACAUUUAGAGACAUUUUGCUAAAUGUGAAUCCACGAUCUCGCCAUCUAGCGAUCGACAUUUCAUGAAUAUUGCUGCCUUUUAUAUUUACACACAUAUACAAUUCACUGAACGGAACGGAGAGUGUGUGCUGUCUCAUUGGACGUUGCCAGCUUGUGCGAAGACUAGAAUAUUGGCGGUCGUUGCACGGCAAAUUCCUGUCAGGUCAUUACGGGUUAGACAAGACGUGAAGACGAUGAUGGGUUGAAUAUUCUCUAGUACCUUUGCAGCCAUAGUCUCGUAUAGGCUACCGUCGAAUGCUACUUCCUGGUCAAUAACUCUACAGACGUAAAGACUGAUGUGGAUUAGUGUUGGUUCAUUUAUAUGGUGGCCUGUUCGGCAGUUGCAUAAAUGUAAUUUUUUUUCGUUUUGAAAUUUUCUCUUCAGGGUAGGAUAUAUCGAUCUCUCAGUGCAAAAUUGAAGGAUAUAUAUGCCUGUCUCGUAGGUGACACAGGUUAUGAACCACGACUAACAGGGUAUUUCCAAAGGACAGAAGCAGAGGAGCCCAUCCUGAUCAAUGUACAAAUUAAAUUAGUGACCACACUCAUGGAAAAAAGAACGCAUUUAUUCUAUUAUGAAAAGUUAACGAAACACUGUAAUUAUAAGCUUGGAUAUGCGUUGUUAAACUGAAAACAAAGUAUUUUAUUAGCUAAAAAAAUCAAUAAACUGGAUUAUUACAAAGUAACAUGCACUAGCAGUAGAUGAUGUUCCCAUUUUUCAGAUAGUCUUUUGCAUUUGUCUCUGAAGCGGUCAAUUCUGAUUAAGUUGCCAUAUUUUCUUUGUGGCCCCUUUAUCCACCAAAUAACUGCUAGGAAGUUGAGAUCCACAUGGAGGAAAUUUAGUCAUUUACAAGAUGCAACAAGUAGUUCAUACUAUACCCGCUGCUGCUGGUAACUAUCCAGCCAACAGCUUCGUAUCCAUCGUUAAUUCAAUAGCCACCAUUCACCACGAAAACAUCAUUUCAACAGAUCAUGAUAUACACUAUGAUUUCGCAAAGAAACAAAUUUGCGCAGCUGUGAAAGAAACAUGGGGACAUUCAUACCCUGUGUUAUGUGCAUACUAAUGAAUACAGUUGAUCGUAAACAAAUUGCUGGAUGCUAACUGCACCAUCAUGGCUACACAAUUACAAAUUCGAAAGUUAUUUCAGUUAGUGAGGCGGAAAUCACAAACUAUUUUUCAUUCGUUGGAUGCUAACUGCACCAUCAUGCAGAGUUUGGAGAGCAGAGUGGAAAGACAUAAUUAGUUUCUAAUAUAACAUGAAUGGAUCAGUUCGCAACGGAUCAAGUAUUUGUCCCAAUAAUAAAUCGGCAUUGCUUCUAGGUAAAAUAUCGAACACAUGGUGUCCUGUGCUGGCACAACAAUAGAGCUAUCUGAGGAACAGAUGCCUUUGUCAGUAGCAGAUCGAAUGAGAGGAACCCAGCAGGCAGCCUGAGAAGAAGACAAGCAGAAAUUGCCCCGGGCUCUAACCGUCUAUGGUCGACCGCAAAAUCCAUGUCGUGACCGCAAAAUCCACGGCAGUGGUCUUGUCCUCUGCUUUGUGAAUCUUCAAAUGCAUUAUUUGGAUUGCAGUAGCCACCCAUGAAGAUUAACCCGGGCUCGUUCAGUUGGAUUGCAGUAUUCAAAAAUCAUAUUAGGCACAGGCCAAAGGGACAAAAACAAGUAAUGAAAAAUAAUUGGAGAUGGAACAACGGACAGAACAGUUGAAUCACACGGUAGCACUCGUCGUGGUUGCUGAUAUUAUCGAUUCUGUAUAAUCCUUUUUUAUCUUCUUGAGUGCUACUGUGACAUCCCUCAUGACAUCCUCAGGCCAGGUGAGUCACUUGAGCAGAUCAACCCCAGCUCAAAUGUCGCCGUAAGAAAGUCAUUCAGAUUGCCGGCAAAGAAAGAAACACCUUGCAACAGCCGGUCAUCAAGAACAGAGGCAAGCUGAGCUGGAAAUGCUUGACGAACCCACCACCUAAUGCUCAAAUCUGCGACGAACAUGGGAUCUGUGGGUCUCUUUCCAGUGAAGACUUCAAGGAGCAUGAUUCCAUAACUGAAAACAUCGCUCUUGCGUGAUGCCUUCCCGUAAGAUCCAUACUCUGCUCAUGAGACCGGAAACAAAGAAUUCCAGCAAGACUGAAUCAGCACUGUUAGACAAAUAUAUACCAAACAAAAUUCAGAGUCACAGUACGGAGUAUGGACGUACCUGGUGCCAUGUACCCAAGUGUUCCAAGCAUGCUUGCAGUGAUCAUAGAGCAGUCAUCACCCAAUAGCAACUUUGCGAUUCCAAAGUCCGCUACAUGUGCUGUCAUGUCUUCAUCAAACAGCACGUUGCUAGGCUUCAAGUCACAGUGCAGGACUACCUCGUGAUGCUCAUGGUGCAGAUACUCCAUUGCCAUUGACACAUCUAGCAUGAUGUCCAGCCUCUUGAGGAACCCUAAGUGCUCUAUGCUGUCAGAUUGCAAGAGCAUCUCUAAGCUACCACGGGGCAUAUAUUGAAGCACCAAUGCCUUGAACUCCACAUUGGAGCAGACAUUCAAUAUCUUUAUCAAGUUCCUAUGCCGAGCCAUGCGAAGUGUGCUGCACUCAGCAUCAAAGCUUCUAAUGGCCUGCUCCUGCUGCAUGUCUAGAACUUUUACUGCCACCGUGAAACCGGUACUAAGUUGACCUUUAUAGACCUUUCCAAAGCUCCCAGUCCCCAACAGGUUGUCGUCACUAAAAUUACUGGUGGCAAGGACAAGCUCAUGGUAUGACAGGUGCCCAUGGUACAUAACAUUUCUAGGAUCAAUGACAGAAUCUUCAACCUCUCCCUUAUUUUUAAUUUUCUUUCUAAUGGUUUGGUAGAUGAAAAUAAUAGUACACCCAAAUGCUAUGGUUACAGAAGGGAGCAGGAAUCUUAGAAAGGGCGUCGUAUUUGAGUGAGGUUUUUCCAUACAUGGAGAGAAUCCUAAACGAGGUAUGCCACAAAGCCCAACAUUCCCAACCAAAGAUUGCAACGAGAUGUUAGAGAAAACACCGCCCUCUGGUACCUUGCCUUGUAGAUUAUUAAAGGAGAGAUUUAAAGUUUUCAAGAAGGUUAAAUUGGCUAGGAACAUGGGAAUGGUACCUGAGAAAUUAUUGGAGGAGAGGUCCAACAACUCGAGGCUCCUCAGCUCUUUAAAUGACAGGGGGAUUGAGUCCUCAAAUGAAUUGUGCGAUAGGAUUAGAUAGCUGAGCAUGCUUAGUUUCUCAAAUGAUUUGGGGAUGCUUCCAAGCAAAAAGUUGAAAGAAAGGUCAAUUGUAACCACUUGUUUCAUCCCACCAACGUCACUUGGUAGUUUACCAGAAAAGGAAUUGAUAGAAAGAUCUAGCAAUAUAAUUUUGUCAAGGCGGAACAAACUUGCCGGUAUAGUUGAAUUGAAUUGGUUGUCAGACAACGAGACGUAUUCUAGCAUGGUAAGAUUUCCAAUGCUAUCAGGUAUAGUGCCAUGAAAUCUAUUUCCAUAGAGAUAAAGCAAUUGUAAGUUUCUGAGCAUACCAAUUUGUGCCGGGAUAGUCCCUAGCAUGUCAUUAUGAGAGACAUCAAGCCAAACGAGAUUUUGCAUCCUCGUGAUAGAUUCUGGGAUCUCUCCUGUGAGCUGGUUGUUGGCAAGAUAAAUAAUCUCAAGACUGCUCAAGUUCGACAGUGAGGAUGGAAGCCCACCUGUUAGCUUGUUGUCACCAAGUCUAAACUCAAAUAAUUGUGCAGACAGAUUCCCCACAGUGUCAGGGAUUCGUCCGGUGAAAGAAUUAUAAUCUAGUACAAGGUGUUGGAGUCGCACAGAGCUGGAAAGAGAUGACAGGAAGUUAAGAUUCCCACUCAAAUUAUUAGAUUGCAGCUUAAGCAAGUUCAAAGUUGGUAUGUUCCCAAGUGUUUGUGGUACGGAUCCUGACAAUAUAUUAUAACACAAUGCUAGGAAAGUCAGUUUUGAUAAAUUUCCAAGAGAAGGUGGAAUUGGACCUGUUAGCAAAUUCACUCCGAGAUGCAAAUACGAGAGUUCUUGCAUGAGGCCUAAUUCUUUUUGAAUCUCUCCUGUCAGGUUGUUGAAAGGAAGGUAAAGUAUAUUGAGAUGGGUGAGAUUGCUAAGAACAGCUGGGACAGAGCCAUGUAAGGAAUUAGCACCCAAGUUUAGAUAGGUAAGCAUGGGCAGUGAGCCUAUUCCUUGGGGUAUUGGACCUGAUAGGCUAUUGUUUGAGAGGUUGAUGUGGUUGAGGGAAGGUGUGUUAUUGAACAGAUACAAUGGUAUGUUGCCACUCAACUCAUUCCCUGCUAGAGUAAACCACUGAAGGUUUCUCAUGCUUUGCAGUAACCGUGGUGGAAUCUGCCCCGAGAGGGUGUUGUUACUUAGGCGAAGAAACUCGAGGCUUUUGAGGUUUCCUAUGGUACUAGGAAUGGCGCCUGAGAGGCCAUUUCCACGAAGAUCGAGGAAUCUAAGUCGAUGUAGCCUUCCAAUUUCAGGAGGGAUGAGUCCAGCGACACCAAUUCUUGUGAGGUUGAGCAUGGUGAGGAAGGAAAGAUUACCGAGGUGUUGGCUGAGCGGUCCAUGGAGGGGCACGUCCACCAAACGUAGAGCCGUGACGCGCGGCCGGUGGUGGCUGCACGAGACCCCGACCCAUCGACAGAAGGAUACGUUGGAUGUCCAGCUACCGGCGAGGAUUCCGAGAGGAUCAGAGAGCAGCGAUUUGAAAGCCAACAGGGCAGCGAGGUCAGUGUAGCUGCCGUUAACAUUGGUGACGCUUGGGCUUGGAGAUGAAGAAACGACAGCAGGCAAUAGGAUUGGUACCAAGAUGGCCAAAAACACUAGAGGGACCGGGUAGCUUGCAAUGGCCAUUGUUGUGUAUUUUUGGGCUGAUAGGUCAUAGGUGGCAAUGUUAUAUACUUAUAUGUAUUUUUGGGUCAUAGGUCAUAGGUCACAUGUCAAAGUCUUGACUCGUGUUUCGUCUUGACUCGUGUUUCCUUUAUUUAUUUGUCACACGGUAUAUUUCUAUGGUGGCAAAAAAAACAGUGUCACUAUUAUCUUGACUCGUGAAGUCAGCAAAGAUCUUUUAUAUUACUAUAAAGUAAUAAACAUUUAGAGAUAUUUUGCUAAAUGUGAAUCCACGAUCUCGCUAUCUAGCGAUCGACAUUUCAUGAAUAUUGCUGCCUUUUAUAUUUACACACAUACAAUUCACUGAACGGAGAGUGUGUGCUGUCUCAUUGGAUGUUGCCAGCUUGUGCGAAGACUAGAAUGUUGGCGGUCGUUGCACGGCAAAUUCCUGUCAGGUCAUUACGGGUUAGACAAGACGUGAAGACGAUGAUGGGUUGAAUAUUCUCUAGUACCUUUGCGGCCAUAGCCUCGUAUAGGCUACCGUCGAAUGCUACUUCCUGAUCAAUAACUCUACAGACGUAAAGACUGAUGUGGAUUAGUGUUGGUUCAUUUAUAUGGUAAUUUUUUUUCGUUUUGAAAUUUUCUCUUCAGGGUAGGAUAUAUCGAUCUCUCAGUGCAAAAUUGAAGGAUAUAUAUGCAUGUCUCGUAGGUGACACAGGUUAUGAACCACGACUAACAGGGUAUUUCCAAAGGACAGAAGCAGAGGAGCCCAUCCUGAUCAAUGUACAAAUUAAAUUAGUGACCAUGCUUCAUUACACUACACUCAUGGAAAAAAGAACGCAUUUAUUCUAUUAUGAAAAGUUAACGAAACACUGUAAUUAUAAGCUUGGAUAUGCGUUGUUAAACUGAAAACAAAGUAUUUUAUUAGCUAAAAAAAUCAAUAAACUGGAUUAUUACAAAGUAACAUGCACUAGCAGUAGAUGAUGUUCCCAUUUUUCAGAUAGUCUUUUGCAUUUGUCUCUGAAGCGGUCAAUUCUAAUGAAGUUGCCAUAUUUUCUUUGUGGCCCCUUUAUCCACCAAAUAACUGCUAGGAAGUUGAGAUCCACAUGGAGGAAAUUUAGUCAUUUACAAGAUGCAACAAGUAGUUCAUACUAUACCCGCUGCUGCUGGUAAGUAUCCAGCCAACAGCUUCGUAUCCAUCGUUAAUUCAAUAGCCACCAUUCACCACGAAAACAUCAUUUCAACAGAUUAUGAUAUACACUAUGAUUUCGCAAAGAAAUAAAUUUGCGCAGCUGUGAAAGAAACAUGGGGACAUUCAUACCCUGUGUUAUGUGCAUACUAAUGAAUACAGUUGAUCGUAAACAAAUUGCUGGAUGCUAACUGCACCAUCAUGGCUACACAAUUACAAAUUCGAAAGUUAUUUCAGUUAGUGAGGCGGAAAUCACAAACUAUUUUUCAUUCGUUGGAUGCUAACUGCACCAUCAUGCAGAGUUUGGAGAGCAGAGUGGAAAGACAUAAUUAGUUUCUAAUAUAACAUGAAUGGAUCAGUUCGCAACGGAUCAAGUAUUUGUCCCAAUAAUAAAUCGGCAUUCCUUCUAGGUAAAAUAUCGAACACAUGGUGUCCUGUGCUGGCACAACAAUAGAGCUAUCUGAGCAACAGAUGCCUUUGUCAGUAGCAGAUCGAAUGAGAGGAACCCAGCAGGCAGCCUGAGAAGAAGACGAGCAGAAAUUGCCCCGGGCUCUAACCGUCUAUGGUCGACCGCAAAAUCCAUGUCGUGACCGCAAAAUCCACGGCAGUGGUCUUGUCCUCUGCUUUGUGAAUCUUCAAAUGCAUUAUUUGGAUUGCAGUAGCCACCCAUGAAGAUUAACCCGGGCUCGUUCAGUUGGAUUGCAGUAUUUCAAAAAUCAUAUUAGGCACAGGCCAAAGGGACAAAACAAGUAAUGAAAAAUAAUUGGAGAUGGAACAACCGACAUAACAGUUGAAUCACAGGGUAGCACUCGUCGUGGUUGCUGAUAUUAUCGAUUCUGUAUAAUCCUUUUUUAUCUUCUUGAGUGCUACUGUGACAUCCCUCAUUGACAUCCUCUGGUCAGGUGAGUCACUUGAGCAGAUCAAACCCAGCUCAAAUGUCGCUGUAAGAAAGUCAUUCAGAUUGCCGGCUGAGGAAGAAACACCUUGCAACAGCCGGUCAUCAAGAACAGAGGCAAGCUGAGCUGGAAAUGCUUGACGAACCCACCACCUAAUGCUCAAAUCGGUGACGAACAUGGGAUCUGUGGGUCUCUUUCCAGUGAAGACUUCAAGGAGCAUGAUUCCAUAACUGAAAACAUCGCUCUUGCGUGAUGCCUUCCCGUAAGAUCCAUACUCUGCUCAUGAGAUCAAAAACAAAGAAUUCGAACAGGACUGAAUAAGCACUAUUAACCAAAUAUAUACCAACCAAAAUUCAAAGUCACAGAACGGAGUAUGGACGUACCUGGUGCCAUGUACCCAAGUGUUCCAAGCAUGCUUGCAGUGAUCAUAGAGCAGUCAUCACCCAAUAGCAACUUUGCGAUUCCAAAGUCCGCUACAUGUGCCGUCAUGUCUUCAUCAAACAGCACGUUGCUAGGCUUCAAGUCACAGUGCAGGACUACCUCGUGAUGCUCAUGGUGCAGAUACUCCAUUGCCAUCGUUACAUCUAGCAUGAUGUCCAGCCUCUUGAGGAACCCUAAGUGCUCUAUGUUGUCAAAGUGUAAGAACAUAUCUAAGCUUCCAGUGGGAAUAUACUGAAGCACCAAUAAUGCCCUGAACUCCAAGUUGGAGCAGAUAUUCAAUAUCUUUAUCAAGUUCCUAUGCCGAGCCAUGCGAAGUGUGCUGCACUCAGCAUCAAAGCUUCUAAUGGCCUGCUCUUGCUGCAUGUCUAGAACUUUUACUGCCACCGUGAAACCAGUGCUAAGUUGACCUUCAUAGACCUUUCCAAAGCUUCCAGUCCCCAACAAGUUGUCGUGGUAUGACAGGUGCCCAUGGUACAUAACAUUGCUAGGAUCAAUGCUAGAAUCUUCAACCUCGCCCUUGUUUUUGAGUUUCUUUCUAAUGGUUUGGUAAAUGAAAAUAAAAAUACAACCAAAGGCUAUGGUGACAGAAGGGAGCAGGAAUCUUAGGAAGUGUGUCGUAUUUAAGUGAGGUUUCUCCAUACAUGAAGAGAAUCCUAAACGGGGUAUGCCACAAAGCCCAAUAUUCCCAAUCAAACAUUGCAACGAGAUGUUAGAGAAAACACCGCCCUCUGGUACCUUUCCUUGUAGAUUAUUAAAGGAGAGAUUCAAGGUUUUCAAGAAGGUUAAAUUGGCUAGGAAUAUGGGAAUGGUAACUGAGAGAAUGUUGGAGGAGAGGUCCAACAACUCGAGGCUACUCAGCUCUUUAAAUGACAUGGGGAUAGAGUCCUCAAAUGAAUUGUGUGAUAGAU